This 466-nucleotide ribosomal RNA is filed under the name uncultured bacterium. RNAcentral describes it as "partial 16S ribosomal RNA". It matches the Rfam family "Bacterial small subunit ribosomal RNA", at positions 28 to 507 of the family's 1533-position model. The record is from RNAcentral.
GAUGAACGCUGGCGGCGUGCUUAACACAUGCAAGUCGAACGGAAAGGCUCCUGCUUGCAGGGGUACUCGAGUGGCGAACGGGUGAGUAACACGUGGGUGAUCUGCCCUUCACUUCGGGAUAAGCCUGGGAAACUGGGUCUAAUACCGGAUAGGACGAUGGUUUGGAUGCCAUGGUUGAAAGUUUUUUCGGUGUGGGAUGAGCUCGCGGCCUAUCAGCUUGUUGGUGGGGUAAUGGCCUACCAAGGCGUCGACGGGUAGCCGGCCUGAGAGGGUGUACGGCCACAUUGGGACUGAGAUACGGCCCAGACUCCUACGGGAGGCAGCAGUGGGGAAUAUUGCACAAUGGGCGCAAGCCUGAUGCAGCGACGACGCGUGGGGGAUGACGGCCUUCGGGUUGUAAACUCCUUUCGCUAGGGACGAAGCGCAAGUGACGGUACCUGGAGAAGAAGCACCGGCUAACUACGUG